GUCGGGAGUAGACGUUGCUUUAGGAGGUAAGGCUGAUUACCGGUUGCCGCCACCUUGAGACCGCGAGGGUAUGGCAUCAAAUAUGUACUAGCGCUCGCCGGGACAGAGAGGCCGCCCGGCGGUGGCUCCAGAAAACGCUCUUUUGUAAUUCAUCAUUCCGCAGUGGCCGACAACUUUGUGCAACUGUAAAAGAUCCGAGCCAAGCAAUUUUUAACCGUAAUCCGUUGCGAUAAAGUACGACGUCGUGAAACAUGUCGCUUGGAAAGUUUGAGCUGGCUCUCGGUUUCUGAAGGAAGCUUUGGCUUUCGGUAUGUUACAUCAAGGAUAUUUAAGGCAGUUAUUUCUAUCGCCAGGCGAAACUUAAUGAUGAAUAAGUAAAAUACUGAUUUACUUCGCUAUAUAUGCAUCACACGCCUACACAACCACAUGACUACUAUUAUCCCUAUAGUAAACAAAACUACAAUAUCAAAGAAUGGGCAAUAGUAAGUGAUCAUCAUUCAAAAUUAAAAUUUAUUUAUGUAACACAUACCUACGAACUGAAAUACCGUGGCCAUUCAAGAAAAGUAUUCGAAUACUGCAAGCGGCAAUGAUGAUUUUCAACUAAUAAAGAAUGAAGAUCGAAGAAGCCAGAAGAAUAAAGAGAAACUGUUUAUCUCCUUUACACUUGACAGA
Molecule: long non-coding RNA, 672 nt
Organism: Leguminivora glycinivorella
Lineage: Eukaryota; Metazoa; Arthropoda; Insecta; Lepidoptera; Tortricidae
Exons: 7
Source: RefSeq, a predicted model, not a curated record